GGCCAGGUAGCUCAGGGGUAGAGCAGUGGACUGAAAAUCCUCGUGUCGGUGGUUCAAAUCCGCCUCUGGCCA
RNAcentral lists this transfer RNA (72 nucleotides) under Pseudomonadota bacterium. RNAcentral's name for it is "tRNA-Phe". It matches the Rfam family "tRNA". Rfam says of the family: Transfer RNA (tRNA) molecules are approximately 80 nucleotides in length. Their secondary structure includes four short double-helical elements and three loops (D, anti-codon, and T loops). The record is from RNAcentral. Lineage: Bacteria; Pseudomonadati; Pseudomonadota. RNAcentral also lists the same sequence under 1 other name.